UGUCUUUGUUUUUGUUGUGUGAGUACUUGUGCUGUGCUGUGUGUGCGUGUGAUUUCUGUUUUUGAAGACAGAACACAAUGGGCGGGGUUUCAUUUUCAAACCAAACAAACUUUUCACCUCGGAUACGUAAAAAAAAAAAAACAAAAAAACAAAAAAACAAACACAAAGCCUGUUUGCCUCGUGAUUAGUGCUACCUUUAUAGCCCACUCUCACAGUCGCUGCACAAAACCCAAAUCCUCUCACUUUCUCCAUACAUAUAUACUCAGAUACUCUUUCUCUUGCUCUGUGCUGUUGUGGGAUUAGGGUUUAGGGUUUAAGAUGUGUCCAGCAAUUCAACCCCAAACCCAACUUGGCCAUGGCUUUCGUCACUUGUUCAUUCCAUUCCCUGAGAGAUGGUUUGUGCUAAAAAGGUUCAGAGAUUACACUGAUGCCUGCUGUAAGGGUUUUUCUCUGUUCCAACAUAAUAUAUGACAAAUUUAUCACUUAAAGGUACUGUUGGAAUUUAGGGAUUAAUAUACUUCAGGUCAUGAAUAGGGAAUGAAGCCAUUGGUCCGCAUAGCAUAGCGAUAUAUGUAACAUAUUCAACAAUUUCUGUACAUUAUUUUUCUACUUUAAAAAUAGUAGAUGUUAUGCUGCAACUUCUAUUUUUAAUCUGUUUGUUUUUGAGUAAAUUACUUAGUGAUAUGUUGAUCUCUC
Molecule: long non-coding RNA, 696 nt
Organism: Quercus robur (English oak)
Lineage: Eukaryota; Viridiplantae; Streptophyta; Magnoliopsida; Fagales; Fagaceae
Exons: 2
Source: RefSeq, a predicted model, not a curated record